UGGGAAUAUUGCGCAAUGGGCGAAAGCCUGACGCAGCGACGCCGCGUGAGGGAUGAAGGUUUUCGGAUCGUAAACCUCUGUCAGAAGGGAAGAAACUACAUUGUGCUAAUCAGCAGUGUACUGACGGUACCUUCAAAGGAAGCACCGGCUAACUCCGUGCCAGCAGCCGCGGUAAUACGGAGGGUGCAAGCGUUAAUCGGAAUUACUGGGCGUAAAGCGCACGUAGGCUGUAGUGUAAGUCAGGGGUGAAAUCCCACGGCUCAACCGUGGAACUGCCUUUGAUACUGCACAACUUGAAUCCGGGAGAGGGUGGCGGAAUUCCAGGUGUAGGAGUGAAAUCCGUAGAUAUCUGGAGGAACAUCAGUGGCGAAGGCGGCCACCUGGACCGGUAUUGACGCUGAGGUGCGAAAGCGUGGGGAGCAAACAG
RNAcentral lists this ribosomal RNA (427 nucleotides) under uncultured bacterium. RNAcentral describes it as "bacterial SSU rRNA". It matches the Rfam family "Bacterial small subunit ribosomal RNA", at positions 356 to 775 of the family's 1533-position model. The record is from RNAcentral.